Molecule: long non-coding RNA, 244 nt
Organism: Daphnia pulex (common water flea)
Lineage: Eukaryota; Metazoa; Arthropoda; Branchiopoda; Diplostraca; Daphniidae
Exons: 3
Source: RefSeq, a predicted model, not a curated record
CAGCCAUCUUAUUCCAUCGUUCAUCGUAUUGACAGUGGGUCACCUUCUGUCGGCCGGAAUCAUUUUCCGACUGGGAAUGCAGGAAGCAAUUUUCCAAAUGUCCCUUUCGUUCGUCAGCCUGACACUGUCCUCACUAAUAUUCCGACUGCGAAUGCAGGAAACGAUUCGCCAUUUUUCCCUUUCGUUCAUCCAACCGACUGAUUGUAGCCACCUUCUGCCGCGAAUAACAAUCCAACUGGGAAUG